This 163-nucleotide small nuclear RNA is filed under the name Haemaphysalis longicornis (longhorned tick). RNAcentral describes it as "U1 spliceosomal RNA". It matches the Rfam family "U1 spliceosomal RNA". From Rfam's summary of the family: U1 is a small nuclear RNA (snRNA) component of the spliceosome (involved in pre-mRNA splicing). Its 5' end forms complementary base pairs with the 5' splice junction, thus defining the 5' donor site of an intron. Lineage: Eukaryota; Metazoa; Arthropoda; Arachnida; Ixodida; Ixodidae. The record is from Rfam by way of RNAcentral.
AUACUUACCUUGUGCCGGGGCCUCGUGGAUCACCGAGGACGAGCCCCCCGAGCGAGGCGUGGGCAUUGCAUUGCGCUCGAGUUGACCCUGCCACUACCUAAAUUGGGACGGAUGGGGCAUACAAACUGUGGCCUCCGCGAUUUUGCUUCCGGCGGCGCGCCGU